This 3560-nucleotide long non-coding RNA is filed under the name Spirodela polyrhiza (greater duckweed). RNAcentral describes it as "long non-coding RNA (SPOL_LNC001069)". The record is from RNAcentral. Lineage: Eukaryota; Viridiplantae; Streptophyta; Magnoliopsida; Alismatales; Araceae.
AUCACUGCCUUUUCUCAAUUCUCGUCGUCCCUGCCGCUCCGCCAAAGGGCCGCGACCUUCCAUCCUCUGUUCUGUGACAGCGUGCCUGGCCUUCCUCCACCGUUCUCAAAUCGGGGAACAUGCUUGUCAACUGCUUCAUAAGCCGCCUCGUGCCGCUAGUCUGAGGAACAACGGCGUGAAGAAAUUGGUGUUCAUGUCUAGAGGUGAUGCACCUCUACCAGUCUUUUGCUUUGGGGAAUUUCUUAUCCUGGGCUCGAUUUGUCAUUGUUUGGGAAUCUCCCCUCAUUUUAGAAGGGCUCCACAUCAUUGCUAUUAACUAGUUCGCAUAUCAAGUUUCCUGCUUAAUCUUUAUAUGCACUUAAUUCAUCUGAUACGCGAUUCUUCUCCCAGCCGAGGAAAGUUUCAGUUUUCGAACUUCUAUCUGAUGAAUUUUCGGUUUUAAAGAUGUUUAAACGAUGUCAAUAUCGCAGAUUAAAAACGAUGUGAAAAGUUAUGUGACUGAUUUUCACUUGAGUACAUAUACACGUUGAGUAAAUCCUUCCAAUCCCUGUUUAUUUUAAUGGUAUUAAACAUUAUCUGUUUGACAGAUUACAAUCGGUGCAUGGCAAUAAAUAUAGAAGAUAAGAUACGAUGCCCGCUGUCUUAAACAAAGAGCAUGUGGGACUUAUUCGAUCCUAGAAGUAUGUAGGAUCUAUUCAGUUUUUAGCUUCACACAUGGAGUAAUCUGUCUUAUGUUUUACACACCUUAAUACCUUUAUCUUGCAGAUGGGCUAAUCCUCGCCAUUGACUGGGGAGGAACGAUACUUAUGGUAUCUGUGGUAAUAUCAUCUGGGAAGUCCACGGAUGAUUCAGCUACUAGACAGUCCUUCAAUUGGAUGACCACAGUGCUUAUAGUUGGUCUCUUGUCAGAGUGUGGUGAUGUGCAUGACAUUGCAAUCUCUAUUACCUUCCAUAUAGAAUUAACAUCGUAGUAGCCCCUCAUUCUUUGGUCCGCAAUAUCGGCUAUAUCUCCUCUUUCUAUUCUGGACUGCACUUGCUGGGUUAUGUGAGUUCUCUGCGAAUCGUUUCCAAUUGCUGGCUUUCCUGUCACAAGUUCUAGUAGUACGAUCCCAAAGCUGUAAACAUCACUCUUCUCAUUCAGCCUAUUUGUUUUAUAAUACCUGCAUAGAUAGAAUACGAAAAUUAAGGAAAUUCUCAAGUUGAGGCUCUAUGAACAAAGGAUGGAUUUUCUCUGACAUACUCAGGAUCAAGGUAUCCAGGAGUUCCUGCAAUGAUAGUUGAUAUGUGAGUAGCCUCUUCAUUGGUGAAAGACCUGGACAACCCAAAGUCUGCUAGCUUGACUUCAAAUUUUUCAUUUAAGAGGAUAUUUGAAGGCUUCACAUCUCUGUGAACAAUAGGCGGCUUGCAGCCACUGUGCAAAUAGUCAAGUCCUGGAAUUUAAAAUAUGACCAUCAUAAAUCAUUACCAUAAUAAAAAAUAAGAAAUAUUAAUGAUGUUUCCUAAGUGAACCUUGUGCAGCUUCAAUUGCUAUACGGAGUCGCAGUCUCCAACUUAAGAUAUUGUUAUUAUUGGCAGAGUCACCUGUGUGUAGUUGAUUGAUAUAUGAGAACUUGAAAGGGAAACAAAAUAAUUCAAAGUUCAGUGAUAAACAUGACAUUUGCUCAUAUGUGAAUGGUGUUUUGGGAAGGAGAACCUGAGAGAUGAUCUGCAAGGGAGCCCUGAGGCACGAAUUCAUAGACCAGUGCUAGGUUAUCGUUACAAUAUCCUAACAAGGAUACUAGAUAUUUAUGGUGCACUCUCUGCAACAGUUGAGCCUGAAAUUUCAAGAUACCUAUUAUUUUCGGGCAUAAAACAAUUCACGAACAAAUUAUCACUGGGCCCUGCUUCAGUAAGAGUAAAAUGUACAUAACUACCUUUGGGAUUUCAUUUUUAGUCAUGAAGGCUUACCUCAGCUUUAAACUGCUUCAGUCCCUGAGUUGAUGAUUUUGAAAGUACUUUCACUGCAACUUGAGUUUCAUCUUUUAAACGGCCGUGGUAGACGGUUCCAAAACCUCCUCUUCCAAUGGGUCGUUCAAAGUUAUUGGUGAUAUUUACUAUAUCUGAUAUUGAAAAUUGGUCACUUUCAGAGAGCAGUCUGUUUUCCUUCUCAACUAACUGGCGGUUACCAUCCCCUCCUUUUUGGCCCCUGUAUAAUUCUACUGCAAUAAAAUAUAAUGUUAAAAUAACAGUUUGAGUGACCUUCCGACAAGUGUUGAUGCAAGACUUGAUGAAGUUAAAAAAGUAGCAGAAGUUAGAGAUAUGUACCUUGGGCACCGUUUUGGGUUUUGUUGACCCUUCUUCGUUUGAGGAUACAUAAUAUGGUGACGAUCAUAAGAAGUAGCAGAAAGGAUGCCGAAAUAGCUAUUGCAAUGGGAAUGAUAAUCUUUUUCUUCUUUGUCGUUGAUUGACAGAGACUCGCUGUGCUGCAUAGAAUUGGAUUGUUUUUGAUCCUGAAUUUUUAACAUAGUAGGUGUGAGAAAAGGGUGAAUACCCUAAUUUACUAUUUAUCCAAGCUUUACAGAACGAUUUACACAAAUUUAACCGAUGACCAAGUAUGCAGUGAUGGACUAUUCCUUUUUUUCUGUACUUGAUGUAUAUGACACAGCCAUGUUCGAUGUUCUAAUGUAACUGGGCACCGGUUUUCUUUGAGUUAUGGGGAAAAGUCGUUAAUUGAUGUUUUGAAUGUUUGUAAUGACCAUAUUUCGGAAAAUAAAAAUAAUUCGGAUUAUAUACAGCCGUUCUUUCUUAAUUAUUACUUUUGAAAUGAAAUAAUAAAAAGCUAGUCGGAAGAAACAAUCUUGGCAAGUACUCAUGUACUAUCAGUGUCUGAAUGUUUUUUAUUAUCCACUUAAGACUUUGUACCAGGGAUUUUUCUCAACUAUCUUUUAUGGGGCUUGGUGGAUAAAGAGACUUGGGACUCUGGAGCGAGUUAGCAGUGGGAAAUAAUCAAGAUUUAUGGAUUUUUUCUCAUGUUUUAUAUAUUUUCCAUUGUUCGCAUAAACUUUUGUUUGAAAUUACGUGUACCAUAGCAUAUUAUCCAAUGAAUAUGGGUGCAGAGCUAACCGUAAUUGUAAUGAUCCAUCUUGUGUUCUUUUGAAAAGAGUUUCUGGAACAGUCCCAUUCAAAUUAUUGCUCUCCAAGUUCCUGCAACCAGGGAAUAUUUAACCAUCAGAUACUCCCUGGAUGUAGGGCCAAACUGCAGAGUUCAAAGUUUCGAAGCAUACAGGAUCUUGAGAGCUGGCAGCUUCUCCAUAUAAGCAGGUAUUUCACCUGUAAAGUUGUUAUACGAUAGAUCCCUGAAACCAAUGGACGAGAGUUAAGUGUAAGUUUAUCUACUUUCUUGCUUGGCAUGCAGCAGCUUUGUCAGCAAGGUUUUAUUCUCAGUUGCAUCAGAGAAACACAAACUCGUACUUGCCUUGAAAUAAAAAAUAACUAUAAAUAGUUGAUGGUGAAAGAUUUUUCAUUUAAAAAGAGGCUUGUAAUUUCUUUAAAUUGCCCUUUUUUUAAACGAACUUACAAGG